GAACAGGCAGAGGCAGUUCAGGGGGUAUUCUGGUUGCCUUACCCAGCUCUGAAGUCUGUCAGCCUCUUCAGAUGUCACUUGCCCUGUGGUAAGGAAGUGUAGUUGGCAGCUGGUGCAGUGGCAAGAAGAGAAAGGAGGUUCCCCAAGACAGAAAUAUCUCAGCAGACCGUGAUCAUGGGCUACAUUCUCCAUACCAGCUUCAUAGCUCCAGUGAGAAAAUAAAUUCCUGCACCCAGGAGACGUGGAGUAAGAGAUACAGCUGACCUUGACCACAUUUCUUACUUCCAAGAAGAUUGUAGCAAUAAUUCAGGAUUUCAUCCAGGAUACCUCAUCACAGCCUGGAGUGCAGUGUCAUGAGCUUGGCUCACUACAGCCUCCAUCUUCUGAGCUUAAGGAUCCUUCCCUCUCAACCUCCAGGGUAGCUGAGACUACAGGCAACAUUUGAAACCCAGGAGCCACUGCUUCAGGAAGGUACCUUCAAGCUCCAAGGACUCUUAUCCUCUUUCUCCUUCCCCACUACCUAGUCAUUAGAGUGUCAGCAUCCACUUCUUGAAAGGAAGAUGCCUGUUUUUCACAUAUCCCAGAAAGCCCCAUUUUAGGACAGCAUUUAGCAGAGUAUAUUCAAGAUCCCACUAACCUUUUCGGAAGACAUGAAUUCCAGAUGAUAUAAGGCAAGAAUAAGAAAUUUCAGUGUCAGGGAACAUAAAUCAUAUUUCUGCAUUCAGGAUCACGUUUUCUUGGUACAGGGAUUUCUUCUUCAAGUAAUCCAAAGACAACUUUACUUUCAAACCUUUCAGAAAACCUGUUCUAAUUUACUUUGCUUCAUUCUACAGGCUCCAUCAGGAACUGUUCAGGACCAUGCACUCUGUUGAUACUCACAUGGUGGAAUUAUAUUGCCCUUGGCCAACCCUAAAGCCAUCAAGAUAGCAGGUAAACAGAGUACAAAAAAUAUUUCUAAUAAGUUGCUUUAGGGCAGUCCCUGCUUCCAGAGGCCUGGGAAUAAAUCUUU
RNAcentral lists this long non-coding RNA (1009 nucleotides) under Homo sapiens (human). RNAcentral's name for it is "HSALNT0379899". The record is from RNAcentral. Lineage: Eukaryota; Metazoa; Chordata; Mammalia; Primates; Hominidae.